Molecule: long non-coding RNA, 3437 nt
Filed under: Helianthus annuus (common sunflower)
Lineage: Eukaryota; Viridiplantae; Streptophyta; Magnoliopsida; Asterales; Asteraceae
Description: hypothetical non coding rna
Source: RNAcentral
CACAAUUUCUCAAUACAAUUCAAACCCAAAUCAGAGAUUAUUCUCUAUACCAAACAACACUUUAACCCCUCUCACAUGACAACUCUGGCCCUCUCCUUUCUGACUCGAUUGAAGUCCUUACCCUUGAGGCUUCAGCGCUGAAUUUUGAUUUUAAACAUGAUUUUAACCUUUCAGCCUUGCCACACGCGAUGUCACUCCUCAGAACACAAAUUUUGAUUUUGAACACGGGUUUUGGGAGGUAAACUUUAGAUUUCUUUCACCUAUUAAUAUGUUUAUGAGCUUGAAUUUGUAAAUAUGAAUUUUGUGUUUUGGAAUCUUGUGAAUAUAAAUUUUGUAAAUUGCUAAUGUAAUGAUUUUGUGAAACUAAAUUUGUGAUGUAUGGAGAGAUUUUUUCAAAGAGAACCUUCAAACAUUGAUUCAGUAUUGAAUUCUUAAAAAUUAAUUUGAAUGAUCUUCCAUUAAAUCAUUCCGAAUUGGGACCAAUUUCAUCUUAUAACCCCAAUCGAAAAGAUGAAACUAGACAAGACUAUUUACCUAGAUAUCUAUGUCAACCAAUAGGGCAUGAUUUUCCACAAGACGUCUUAAAUCAGAUCGGUUUCAACAACAUGUAAAUUAGUUAGAAUAAACUCAUAAAGUGUCAAAAUAGAUGGAGCAUAUUGCUUGUAUUGUUACUUUGUAAAGUUAUACUAAGUAAUGCUUCGGUGAAUAGACAAAUGAUAGCCCCAACAAUCCAAAAGACGUUGUAAUUGUAAUGCUUCGGGGAAUAGACAAAUGAUAGCCCCAACAAUCCAAAAGACGUUCUAAUUAUAACGUUGAACAAUAGUUCUUUCAACAAGUUCGGUCGAAGAUGUAAUGCAACACUUUCAAACGAUGAAAUCUCGUAACGAACAACUAUAGGUCGUUUUUUAUAAUUGGUAAAGAUGAUCGUAUUUAUAUUAUGUGUUUUUAAAAUUCUAAUGACAUUGUUAUCUUUACUAUUGUAUUGUAUUUUUAUUAUGUGACCAAUCUAACCCAACCCAAAUCGUUGAAUCAACCCUUAAUUUUUAUGUCAAGUUCUAAGAAAUUGGAGCAUCUAAAAACAGUGACUCCAUUAGAAUAGAUUCCUGGAUUCGCUCGUGUUUAAGGGGGUUAAAGUGUAAGUUUCAUAAUCAUGCUUAAGGGGCUUGUAUAAUAGUGCUUAUUCCAUUUGUACCUUAAAAAAAUAAUAUCUUAUUCCAUUUGUACUUUAAAAAAAUAAUAUGACCAAUAGUUUUGUGUGGGACACCGAUAACAUAAAUUAAUGGUCUAUAUUUUUGUGGGUGUUACAAUUGGAAUGUGUUGGUGCUUUGAAUAGUAUGUGGAAAGUUUGAUCGAAAUUCUUGGUUAUGGAUUCUCUUGCGUCAUUCCAUUAGAAAGAUAUGUGUUCUUACAAAUAUUACGGGGACCUACAUAUGUCUCAUUAGCAUUAAUAGAUCGAUUACGAUACUAUUUCACCUUCAUUGACAAGUACAUUAGAAAGGCACAUAUUAAUUUAAUGUGUGUGUACAUUUAAGAAGUGCGGAGUUGUUAAAAAUAGACUCGGGGCUGAAUAACUGAAUUCGAAUUUGUUUUUUUUAACCGAUUCGAUUCGAAUAUUCGAAUCCAAAUGAUUUGGGUGAACAGGAAUCGUAACCUAAACGUCAAUUGGGUGGCCUUGUUUCAAAACCCAGUCAUGAUUUUCUAGUUGUUCUGAUUUUUCUGGCUAGUAUCUUGCUAGUCGUUUUUAUGUAUAUAAUAUUUCAGACUUCAGAUAUUCAUAAAAAGAAAGAACAAAAAAUUCUGAAAAUUAGAGGAUAGGGUUAGGAGUGUUGCAAGUGAACAAGAACAUUCUAAUAUAAAUGUUAUGUUGUGCAUAGCUCGACAGUGGUAUAAAUGAUGUUUAGAAAUUGUUUUAAUUUGACACUUUUCCGGAUUUAGUGAUGCAUGUUUAUAGAAUUAUGAGAAAUGGGUAAAAUAACAUUUCAAUAUAAGGUUGUGAGUUAAAGGUGUAUUUGAAAUGUUUAUUGCAACAAGUGAAAUUUAAACUAGAACUGUAAUUAGUGUAAAUUUCUAAAUUUGUCUGAAUGUCAAUAAUGUGAUUUGACAUGUUAGCAUAUCCUAAUUUACGAAAGGGGCCUAAUAAUUCCACAUGGUAUCAUCUUAUUCUAACAUGGUUGAUACAGGCCGUAUAAGGUUAUACGGUAGCCUUUGUCAGUUCAUUUUAUUUUAUACGGGCCGUAUAACCUUAUAGGCCCGUAUCAACCAUGUUAGAAUAAGAUGAUAAUGUGGUCGUAUAUAUACAGUGGCGGACCUAGAAAUUUUUCUCUAGAGGUGCGGAAUAUUUUUAAAUAUUUUAGGCCUCUAGCUGUAUAAAAAUAUCGGUUCAUAGCGGGUCGGGUCGGAUCAUGUAAGACAAAAGAAUAUCAAAUUAAAAUUUAUAAAUCAUCAAAAACACGUCAAACGUCAUUACAAAUUACAAACGUAUUUAAAAUUGUGCCCUACAGGGUUUUUUUUUAAAUAUAUCCAAAAUAUCAUCUAAGGAUACUAAACACGCCAUAAGUUCAAUACCACUACAUGAAAAAGGGUCUACGGCCACACUUUUGGCAAAACUGUCCUGCCACACAUUUGAAAAAAAAUGUGUGGCUAAAGGUCAUUCAUAAAAUUUUAAAACACCUUUAGCCACACAUUUUAUUAUUAAUGUGACCAUUUAUACCAGUUCAUUAUCAUUAGCCACACUUUUAGAAAAUAAUGUGACAUUUAUUAGCCACAAAUCGAAAUAUGUGACCGAAUGUUUUCUAUAGCCACAUAUUUUUGUUUCGUGUGACAAAAAACUCAUGUAUUUGACACCUUUAGCCACACUUUAAGAAAAAAAAAAUGUGACAUAUAUUAGCCAUAGUAGCAACGUGUGGCCAAAUGUUAUCUAAGAUCACAGUGUUUGUUUUCAUGGACCAACUAUGUAAUUAACUCACAUAUUUAUAUAAAACCUUUAGCCACAUUUUUAAGAAAAAACUGUGGCAUUUAUUAGCCACACUAAAAAAGUGUGGCUAAAUGUGAUCUACAACCACAAUAUUUGUUUCAUUUGACUAAAAAUAGAUAUAUUCGAACCUUUAACCACACGUUAAGUAAAAACAACCAGACUAGAAAACUGUGGCCAAAUGCGAUUUAUGACCACGUUGUUAUAUGCUUAAUAAUGUGGCAGAAAUCUCACGCAUAUGGCCACAUAUAUUAUUUUUUGUGACCAAAGUAUAGACAAUAGCCACACUUAAAAUUACAACAUUUCAUGUGGUGUUACAUAAACAUUCAUCAAAUCAUCGUCACUUUGUUAUUUUGUGUGACGAAAUGUUAUAAAAUGUCAUGGAAAAAAUGUGUGACCAAAUGUUUAACUUACUACAUCUUUAAAAAUCCCUCCCCCCCCUAAAUAUUUCAUCCUAAAAAUUAAA